ACGGAGGGAGCUAGCGUUGUUCGGAAUUACUGGGCGUAAAGCGCACGUAGGCGGCUACUCAAGUCAGAGGUGAAAGCCCGGGGCUCAACCCCGGAACUGCCUUUGAAACUAGGUAGCUAGAAUCUUGGAGAGGUCAGUGGAAUUCCGAGUAAGGAGGUGAAAUUGGUAGGUAUUGGGGAGGAGAGGAGAGGGGGAGGGGAGAAAAUGGAAUAGUAUUCCCCCGUAGUUGGGUGAGCGUGUCGAGCAAAAAG
Molecule: ribosomal RNA, 251 nt
Filed under: uncultured prokaryote
Description: partial 16S rRNA
Rfam family: Bacterial small subunit ribosomal RNA
Source: RNAcentral